This is a long non-coding RNA of Scatophagus argus, 412 nucleotides long. RefSeq lists it as uncharacterized. Lineage: Eukaryota; Metazoa; Chordata; Actinopteri; Scatophagidae. The record is from RefSeq and is a predicted model, not a curated record. The transcript is spliced from 3 exons.
CCUUCUGAUGAACUCGACGGAAGCUCCACAGUCUAUCAGCUCCAUGUGAAGAUAUAAUGAGCACACUGCUGUCACAAACCUGUGGACUUGUUUUGUCCUAUGAAAUACUUGAACAGUUUUUUGUCUCAGUGCUGAAAGGACUGUUGCUGGUCUUGUAGAUGACAACUCUGUUCACCCCCAGCAACUGCAGCAUCUCCAGACUCUGGACCAGCUACAGAGGAACACAGGUUGACAGGCUGACACACUCUAGAGGCAUGAAAAUAAUAGCCUAUAAACAACAAGGAGUUAACAAGCGUGACUUCCAGUUGACCUUUUAGGAACCACAACAAUCCCUGAUAUGUGAAGGGCCAUUGCGGUUUGUGAGAGGAAGCCUCAGGGGGAUUAAAACCAUGAAACAAGAAGAAGCAAGAUG